CCUACGGGUGGCAGCAGUGAGGAAUAUUGGUCAAUGGACGAGAGUCUGAACCAGCCAAGUAGCGUGAAGGAUGACUGCCCUAUGGGUUGUAAACUUCUUUUAUAAAGGAAUAAAACGUGGCACGUGUGGCUUUUUGUAUGUACUUUAUGAAUAAGGAUCGGCUAACUCCGUGCCAGCAGCCGCGGUAAUACGGAGGAUCCGAGCGUUAUCCGGAUUUAUUGGGUUUAAAGGGAGCGUAGGUGGGUUGUUAAGUCAGUUGUGAAAGUUUGCGGCUCAACCGUAAAAUUGCAAUUGAUACUGGCAGUCUUGAGUACAGUUGAGGUGAGCGGAAUUCGUGGUGUAGCGGUGAAAUGCUUAGAUAUCACGAAGAACCCCGAUUGCGAAGGCAGCUUACUAAACUGUGACUGACAUUGAUGCUCGAAAGUGUGGGUAUCAAACAGGAUUAGAUACCCCAGUAGUC
This 460-nucleotide ribosomal RNA is filed under the name uncultured bacterium. Its description in RNAcentral is "partial 16S ribosomal RNA". It matches the Rfam family "Bacterial small subunit ribosomal RNA", at positions 338 to 795 of the family's 1533-position model. The record is from RNAcentral.